GUUGAGGUGGCAGACUCUGGCUAUUGCAAUAGAUCUAAGCUCUAUCUAUAGGGGUUCAAAUCCCCUCUUCAACU
Molecule: transfer RNA, 74 nt
Filed under: Synodus poeyi (offshore lizardfish)
Lineage: Eukaryota; Metazoa; Chordata; Actinopteri; Aulopiformes; Synodontidae
Description: tRNA-Leu
Rfam family: tRNA
About the family: Transfer RNA (tRNA) molecules are approximately 80 nucleotides in length. Their secondary structure includes four short double-helical elements and three loops (D, anti-codon, and T loops).
Source: RNAcentral